GACGAACGCUGGCGGCGUGCCUAACACAUGCAAGUCGAACGGAGUUAAGACUUCGGUUUUAACUUAGUGGCGAACGGGUGAGUAACGCGUGAGAAACCUGCCUUUCAGUGGGGGACAACAGUUGGAAACGACUGCUAAUACCGCAUAACGUAUCGGAACCGCAUGAUUCUGAUACCAAAGCUGAGGCGCUGAAAGAUGGGCUCGCGUACGAUUAGAUAGUUGGUGAGGUAACGGCUCACCAAGUCGACGAUCGUUAGCCGGACUGAGAGGUUGAACGGCCACAUUGGGACUGAGACACGGCCCAGACUCCUACGGGAGGCAGCAGUGAGGAAUAUUGGGCAAUGGGGGAAACCCUGAUGCAGCAACGCCGCGUGAAGGAGAAGGUCUUCGGAUUGUAAACUUCUGUUUUUAAGUGAAGAACAAAUGACGGUAGCUAAAGAGGAAGCC
This 447-nucleotide ribosomal RNA is filed under the name uncultured bacterium. Its description in RNAcentral is "bacterial SSU rRNA". It matches the Rfam family "Bacterial small subunit ribosomal RNA", at positions 28 to 492 of the family's 1533-position model. The record is from RNAcentral.